Pan troglodytes (chimpanzee) is the source of this 10372-nucleotide long non-coding RNA. RefSeq lists it as uncharacterized. The record is from RefSeq and is a predicted model, not a curated record. Lineage: Eukaryota; Metazoa; Chordata; Mammalia; Primates; Hominidae. The transcript has 4 exons.
UGCUUAUAUCUUUAUAGGUAAAAUUUUGUUUGGUGCUAUAGUCUUCUCUAAUAUAAUAAUAAAUAUUUUAAACUUUGUGGGCCAUACAGUCUCUGUAGCAUCUACCCAAGUCCACCACUGUCGCAUGGAAGCACCACAGACAAUAUGUCAAUUACAGGGCAUGGCCAACCUAGCUGGUAGAACUUUACUCACAAAAGCAGGCCAUGAUUUGCCGACCUCUGUUCCGUCUAGGAGAUUAAGAAAAAUCCAGAGCACAGGAGUGAGUAAGUCAUAAUAUAUAAUAGGAGGACAAUUGGUAAACUAAAUUAUAGAGAGAUACAAAAGACAGGAGAGGCAAUACAAAAUUUAAUGAAAAUAAUCUAGAUUUAAAAUGCACUAUUUUAUUAACUAAAAGAUAGAGGUUUUAAAGAGAAGGGAAAAGAAGAGUGUGCUAAACUUCUCACCUUCCAUGGGCAAAGGUGGGUGGUGGAGUAACAGAGAGAACUGAAGGUUUAAACAUGCUUUUGAAAAACUCGAAAGUUAUGUCUAGUAAAAUUAAAAACAGGAGAAAAGCUUUCCAAACCACCACAGAAUUAAAAAGCAAAGAAAAAUGUUACCCGUUUUACGAAAGACUGAAAAUAGUGAAAACGAAGGAAGCAUAGAGCCAGAAAGCAUAUGAUAAGUUGACAAAAAUCACACCAAAGUCACAAUAAAUGAAAAUUAGUUAAAUCCUUAUUAAGGACAAAUACCCAUAUUAGAAACAUGGAUUAUGAGAAAUCCAUUUGAUGUGAAAUACACAAGCUGCUAUAUAAAAUGGUGAACAAAUGUGAAUAAAAAUAGAUUAGAGAUUGAAAUAUUAUUUUUUAAAUGUGCAUAUCCAGGAAAAAUAAUUAAAUAGAACAAAAAGUCUAUCUUUAAAUGAAGAUAUUAUUGAUUUGAUCUUUUAUGCAUGAAGCAAAAACAUAAACAUAUAUAAAGCAAAACUUGUUAAAAAUGUAAGAAAUAGUGGGAAGAAACCUGGUAGCAAAGGGAAACUUUAUCAUACUUCUCUCAAUAUUUGGCAAGUGAAGUAUAUAAUAGAUAAUGGUAAGAUAAAUAAAGAUUAAUGGAUAAAGAAGAUCUGGAAAACACCACUAUUAAUGUUUAGUUAAUAUAUACACUAAAGAUUAAAUCUAUUGUGUGUUAAUUAUUGAUUACAUAUUAAGUCAUUAAGAAAAUCUCAAUAAGUCCCAUAAGCUAAAAAUUAUUGAGCUCACACUCUCUGACCACAAUGCAUUAAAUUAGAAAUUACAUUUGAGAAAGUGGGAGAUAAAAUUACCAAUGAUUUUCAAAUGAGCAAACAACAACAACAACACCACAAUGAAUCCUUUCCUGUCUACACAGGACAAGGGAAAUAUUAAAAGCAGGAAGACAGACUGAUUGGAUGACAGCACUGCCUACCCAAACAUAAGGGAAGAAACUAAACUUUGCGUAGAAGCAAAUGUACAGCUUGGAUUGUUUUUAAUCUUAGACAAGAAAGAAUUAAAAUAUAUGAACUAAACAUUCUGGGUAAGCUAAUAUUGAAAAGCAAAAUAUAACCAGAAAAUAAAAGAGAGAAAUCUCUAGAGAUUACAUUAAUGUACUGGAAAAGAGAUUAAAAUGACUAAUAAAUUCAGGACUUGGAUUCUUUGAAAAAAACUAAUAAAAUAUACAGGCUUUCAGAAAGUCUGAGUGACGACAAAAAGAAAGAAGAAAGAUAGCAAAGAAAUAAAAAGUUACAGAAUUUCAUGUAGAAGUCUAUGCUAAAAACUUGAACCUCAAUGAGAAGGCAAAUGGAAAAUACGAAAAUAAAGAUUAUCAAAUCUGACGAUCAGAACAGACCACUAUCCAUGGAAGAAAUAGAAACCAGUCUCAAAGAAUUGCAUCCAUAAAAGGAGCUGGGCCCGAAUGUUUUAUAGGCAAGUUUUUCAAACCUUCAAGGAACACAUAAUUCUUACGGUAUUUAAGCUGUUACAGUUUAUAGAAAAAAAAUGAAAAGUGUCACAAUUCGCUUUAUGAAAUUAACAUAAACGUGCUACCAAAAUGUAACAAAGACAGUGCAUUAACGUAAAACAAUAGACUCAUUUCACACAGAAACACAGAUGCAAAUGAGAAGUGAAAUAUUUCCUGUGAUACAGCAACAUGAAUAAGGGUGAUGUCACCUGAUUGGGUAGAAUUUAAUCCAAGAAAACAUGGAAAGGUUAAUAAUAUGAAAUAAAAUUUUAUCAAAUCAAUGUCAAUGAAAAAAGAUUAUAUUGAUGGAUAUCAAUAAAGCAAAUGUUUAAUUUAACAAAAUUAAAAAUUCAUUUUUAUUGAACAAUACUAAAAAUGCAAACAAAUUAAAAUACAUUUUAAAUCUAGAUCUGUAUAGUUUUGUAAACUCUAGAAAGAUAUUUCUUGAUAUGAUGGAGUAUAUCAAUCUAAAACCAAUGGACAGUGUCGUAUCUGUCAAAAUAUCAAAGCAGCAUUUCUCAACUUCAUUGUUUAAUCAAUUUUCCAGGAGAUGUUAGCAGAUGUGCUUGAAAGUAAAGUCUAAACAACAGUUCAAAAGUAGUUUGGGAAGUAAAUGGAGUGACAAAAUGAAUCCAGAGUUUUCUUGGCAGAAUGAAUGUACAAGAAUAGACAAAAUAAUUUUGAAAAAGAAUAUUCAUCCAGGCCUUAAACUAGAGAAUAUUAAAAUGUAUUAUGCAACCACAGCCAUUAAAGUAAUGUGACAGCAAUACUAGAGCAGAGAGACAGAUAAAUGGAAAAGAAGCGAGUGUAUUCCAAAAUAGAUCCAAAAUUCUUUUUAAUAUAACAAAUGUGGUUUUCCAAAUAAGAAAGGAAAUGAUGGAUUAUUUGAUAAGUCUUUUGAGACUAUCUGGCUAACCAUUUCAAAAUAAAUACUGUGAGGCAUAAUCUACCAAAAUACAAACACGAAUUCCAGGUAGAUUACAAAUGAUGCUCUAAAAGAAUGAGGAGGAAACAGACUUACAUUGUGGAAGGUCUCUCUGAGCAUCCCUGAGAAGGCACAUUCCAUGAAAAAACAUGAAAAUAUUUGACUAUAUAAAUAUUUUAAAUGUCUAAACAUUUGCAAAAACCAUAAAACAACAAAAUGCAAAUAACCAAGUGGAAAAGAUAGUUUUAAAUAUGUAUAAGGAUUAUAAUAUUUUAAAAUAUUCCUCAUCUUUAUUCUUUUCUUAGUAAAUCUCUCUCUCUCUCUGUCUCUCUCUUUCUCUCUGCUGUCCACUUGGCUUUGCUAUUCCAUAGAAGGUGGAUGCCACUCUGGAAAGGAGGAGGAGUGUCCCUUUUAGCCAGAACAAGGAAGAGGAAAGACUUCCCUGUCUUCCGUGAGGGACUGUGAGAAAGGUGGGGAAGAAGGUAGUGGAAAGAGGCAGUUGGCAUUUGUUCUGAGCCCUCUCUCUCAACAAGAGUGGUAGGAAUGCCUGAAGAUUGGCUGGGCACGGUGGUGCAUGUCUGUAGUUCCAACUACUCAGGAGGCUGAGAAGAGAGGAUCACUUGAACCCAGGGUUCUAGGCUGCAGUGAGCCAUGAUUGUGCCACUUCACUCCAGCCUGGGUGACACAGCAAGACCAUGUCUGGAACAAAAAAAUGCCUGAAGUUAAAGUGGGGGGGGGCGGGCAGAGGUGCUUUCUCCCAUUCUCCAUUCUGGGUGUAGUCAGUCCUUUCCAUGAGAGCCACCAUACCUGUUAAUGUGGCAGCCAGUGUGGUGGGGUAGAGAGUGUGGUGUGGAAGGAACCCACUGGGCUCUCUGUGCCCUGAGACUGGGAUGGAAACAUUGUUGAGAAUUAGGUGCAGGAGGUUGUCAAAGCUGUUCACAGGGCUGCAGGGACAAAGUGACUCCCUGGCCAACAGCAACAGAGCCAGUGUCACUGGAGCCAGGAAACAAUGGAGUCAUAGUCAAACCCUCUCUGACUACUAUGACAUUUGUAAGCCCCUAGGCGUGGUCAGUAUCUUAGAGGGCGGAUCUGAAAGGCCCUGUGCUGUGGUCUGAAUGUUUGUGCCCCACCCCCGAAAUUCCUAUGUUGGAAUCCUGGCCCCCAGUGUGUUGAUAUUAGGAGAUGGGGCCUUUGGGAGGUGAUGCAGAAAGAGGCCCCAGGGAGCUGCCUCACUCCUUCCACCAAGUGAGCACACAGCCAGAAGGUACCAUCCAUAAAGAUGAAGAAUGCCAAGGACAUCCACCCCUCAUGGCAACAUCUGCAUGUUGACAUACAUCAGUAAUGGUCUGUGAAUCAUUUGAAUUCUGGAUGAUUUUUAAAUUGCAUCGCACCUGUUCAAAAGCUGAGAGGAGGCACGGAGACCACAUACUGGAGAUGGUGCCUGGUGCUGGGCUGGCUGAAUACACAACCAGGGAAAAAGAUGCGGUCACUGUCCUCACAGAACUGAAGGUCUAGCCAAGGAGACAAACAACUGAACAAGCAAACUAAGUGUCCAGGCAAAGUAUACAGGGGUGCUUUGCUAGUGAGCACAUUGCAGCAAUAAUUAAUCUAGCAUAAGAAGGCUCAGAAAGAAAAUGACUUUAAAGCCAAGUUCAAAAAGAUGUGUAGGACUUUCCCAGAGAUAGAGCUGCUGGGAGUGGAGAGUAUGAGGUGUUCUAAGUACAGUUAAAGCAAAGGCCUGGAGGAAGAAAACGUCCCACUGAAUGAAGUUCCUUGUCUUGUGUAGUGAGAGGCAAGGAGGGGUUAAGGAAGGAGGCUGAAGAGGAAGACAGACACAAGUAAAGAAGUGCCUGCUAAAACCUACCAAGAACCCUGAGUUUUAUUCCAACAGUGAUGGGAGAUGAUUGAAAGGCUUUGAGAAGGGGAUUCAGAUUUUCACUUUAGAAGAUCCUUCUGGCUAUAAGUGAACAAUGGACUGAGGAAGGACAAGAUGGGGUGGAUCAACUCAUUCCAGGAAGUUAUUGCACAAAUAUGGACAAAAUGCACAAUUGCAUAGGCUGGCUGCUUUGGCACUGACAAGGGUGAACUCCACUCACUGGGACCUCCUGCACUGGGAUAAGGAGCAUGCAGGAGCUGGAAUGAGUGCUUUUGGGCACCAGCAGGAGUGAACUUUGUACUGGCCCUGUGGCAGCAUCUGGGGCUAGGGGGUGCCUGUGAUCUCCAAAGACCCAGAGGAAGUGUCACAGUACUCUUUCAGCUCUGCCAUUUGCAGGAAUAAAUUGAAGAUGGUAAAUGUGGGGGAUUUUAUUGCCCAUGAAAGUGGCUGUCAGCCGGAAGGGGAACUGAAAAGGGGAUAGAGUAGGAAGGUCAUCUUGUCCAGCCAUCUCUGGCCAGAUUCUUCUCUGAAGUUACACCAUCAAGCUGUCCCUCUGAAUUCAAGCUGCUUCUCUCUGACCAACUGUAGUCUCCAACGUCCAGUUUCUUCUCCCCUUUCUGCCAGCUGAGCCUGAGGUUUUUAUGGACACAGGAUGUGGGGCAGGGUGGGCAUGGGUGGUUUUGGAAAAGGCAAUAUUUAAGCAGGAAAACAGGGAUGUGAGUCCUCACUUUGGGCCACAGUUUCAGGCUUGAGGGUGGGGCCCUUGCCGGGGACCCACCCUCUUCUGCCCAUAAUUUCCCUGCCUCCUGUCCCUGUCACUUGGAGGUAGAAUGAACUACAUUCAGUGGAGUGUGGUGAGGGGAGGGGAGUGAGUGAGAAGCAAGGAUCUAGGAUGACUCUCAGUUUCUGGGUGAACCAUUUUCUGAGAAAAUAUGCUUGAAGAGAAAAACAGAUCUGAAGGGAAGAUGAUGGGUUUUCAGCAGACUAGGCUGUUCAGACAGCAAUAAUACAGGGUGGUCACAGCAGUUUCACAUGACUAGAUGCUACGGGCUGAUAAGACCCUGAAAAACAGGGUGUGGGCCAAGCUGGCUAAGACUGACUGGAGCCAACAUGGGCUGGAUUUGACCUAGGUUUCACCUAGAACCUCAUUAUAUGCUCAUUUACAUAAUUACCCACCCACCAGUGCCAUGACAGUUAUAGGAACACCCACAUUUGGUGUAAAAAUGGGCGACUCCACAAUUCCAAGAAAUCUCCACUUUUUCCAGGAAUUUUCACGAAUAUCCCAUCCCUUGGUUAAAGAAAUUCAUAAAGAAAGAUACCCUAAACCCCACUGGGUGACUCUGUCUUGAGUACAUCUACACUCUCCUUGCUUGAGUGUGUACUUUUCCCAUUACAAUAAAUCUCUGUACUUUCACUAUUUUCAGAUUCAUCCUUGAAUUCUUUCUUACAAUGGUGUUAAGAGCCUGGAAACUGGUUGGAGUCAAGGUCUCACCGGCAUUUGGACCUCUCCCAGCCCACCAGUAUCACUUUCACCAUAGAAUUAUCAUGGGAUGAAAAACCAUGCAGGAUGGAAGGGUUUAGUCCCAGUAGAUACCCAGGACUUGAAUGGCCCAAUGAAUUUCAGAUGGAAUGAAAACCCAGUGGAUUUUUAAACUCAAUUAUAUUUGGUAAAACAUGACUGUAUAGGUUCUAAGAGAAAAGUGUUUGGUAGACUCUAUAAUGAGAUUCUAGAAUUCAGGUCUCAUAUAAGUAAGAGAGCUUGGUUUUAUUUUAGCCUAUCCAAAAUCAUGCUGUGAAAAGUUUUGAUGAGGUAAGUGUAAAUAAAUCAGAAAACAUUGUAAAUGUUUACAUGAUCACUUGAAAAUGAAAAGAAAGAAUGGUUAGGACAAAGUACAUUCUUAGUUCUUUUGAACCAAAAAUAUUUCCACAAAGUAUAUAAAAUGUACAAAAACAGCCAAACUGAGGCCCAUCUGUCCUUAAUUAUAACAGAAUAACAUGAAAAGAAACCAAAAGACAUGACCCAACCUGCUUCCUUGAAUGGUAAUGAAAACCCAGUGAAACAUGCUUAUUUUCUGCUUUCUACCGCAGUGGGCAUCACAUUCUAAAGGGAUGAGAAAUACAGCAAUGUCGUUUAUUUCUUAAAGCGUGAUUGUUUUUGUAACGUGAUUUGUAACUGGGCUAAACUUGUAGAAUAAACUGGUACACUCUGACUCCACUUAGCUUCAGUUUUUAACUAAGCCUAGAAAAUAAGAGAGUGAAGCUUCGCAUUGCUAUAAUUAGGGUCUCUAAAUAUGUAUGGUUUCAGAGAUACUAUAUCAUUAUACAGUAUGUACAAAGCUGGAAUAAAUACUAGGCUUUCUGAGCACAAUGCUUAUAAAACAACUAAUUGCAAUUUACCUUUGUUCUACUUGUGGGGUUUGUCUUAGUAUCUGCCAACUGAUUUCUUAUUUAUAUAAAUAUCCUUUAAAAGUAAGAUUUACUUUUGUCACAUCUGAAAAAAUUGCAGUGGCCAAAUAAAGGUAUAUUUUAGCUAACUGCAUUUAAUUUGUUACUGCGAGAACAUGAUCUGAAAGUGGAGAUUUAAUGUUUUAAAAAUUUUUGUAGGUACAUAGUAGGUAUAUAUAUUUAUGGGUUGCAUGAGAUGUUUUGAUACAGGCAUGCAACACAUAAUAAUCACAUCAUGGAAAAUGGGAUAACUAUCCCCUCAAGCAUUUAUCCAUGAUGUUACACACAAUCCAGUUAUACUAUUUUACUUAUUUAAAAUGUACAAUUAAAUUACUAUUGAAUAGUCACCCUGUUGCACUAUCAAAUACUAGGCCUUAUUCAUUCUUUCUAACUAUAUUUUUGUGACACUGUGCGACGUUUGUCUUUCUGUGCCUGGCUUAUUUCACUUAACAAAAUGAUCUCCAGUUCCAUACAUGUUGCUGCAAAUAACUGAAUUUCAUUCUUUUUUAAUGGCUAACUAGUACUCCAUUGUGUAUAAGUACCAUAUUUUUCUUAACCAUUCAUCUGCUGAUGAACACUUGGGUUGGAUAUUUAAUUUUUUUCCAACUAUUGCUGCCUGGUGAACUGAUAGGGACAAGAAAUUUACAAAUAUGCAGAAUUUUUUUUUUUCUGUCCUUGGAACUUGUUCUUAUUUGUGGAUGUUAAGUGAAGGAAAAACAAACUAUUGUUGAUUUGGUUUUAAAUAAUUCAUGGGUAAAUGAAGCCACAAACUAUAAAUUACAAAGGCUUUCAGAAGGGCAGAGUGAGACACACAGGGACAUUGGUGGCAGAGAGUGCAGAGGUGAGCUUCAUGAGAUCACACAUGGCCGUAGGCAAGGUGGGCAUGGGGAGGACUUGAGAUGGCACAAGGAUCCAUCUUAGGGAUGUGUGUGCCCAUGAAGCAUGGAAAUAAAGGAAAAUCUUGAGUUCCUUCAAGGUAAAUUCCAGGCAUCUAGCUAGCCAUGAAAAGUAAAUGACUACCUUAAUAAGUAAGAAGAUAAUAGUAACUUAAAAAUAAUGGCAGAGGAAGUUAGAGUCAGGAGAUGUUUUGUUUCCCAUGGAAACUAAAGUAACGUCUUAACAUACUCUGAGUUGUUUUUCAGGAACCUGGACCCCUACCACAUGAAUCCACUGGCUGGCACAUAGACCUCAGAUAAGGAGGUACUAAGGACUGAACGCUGAUGGCUGUUUUCGUUCUAAACUUCUUCCCAAAGGGCCUCAAGGAGGUCAUGCCCACGAGCCAGAACUAACAUUCUUUUCUGCUGACCCCAAAAUUUUAAACAAAGCUUCUCUUCCUUGAUCAAUUGCAAAUGAGAAAAUCUUUGAAUUUACCUAUGACCUGUAAGCCACCCCUGCACCCCCCUACCCACGACCCCCACUUUAAGAUAUCCCACCCUUUUAGGACAAAACUAAUCUGUAACCUCCAGGUAUUGGUUUGCAAUUUUGCCUGCAGUUUCUGCUUUCCUGAAAUUAAACCCUGCCUUUAAAAAUCCUUACCUGCAAACCACUAGGGAGGUCAGAGUUUGAGCAUUAGCUACCUGUUGCUCCUUGCUCGGCACCCGGCAAAUAAAUGCCUUCCUUUUCCCCACUGCAAACUCGGUGUGGUUAUCUGGUCUUACUGUGCUGGGUGAGUGGACCCCAGUUCAGUUCUAUAACAGGCUGGGCUGGGUAAACCUUCCCAUAUUUGAAUGGUAGGAGAAUACUUAUUCAUCAACUGUUAAAGAUCCAACAUAGGAAGAAAAAAUUAGUUCUUAUUUUGUCUGUCUUGUCAGAUUGUGGAGAGGGUCAAGCAAUUGUCAGGUGAGUUGUAUGUGUGUAUGUGUGUGUGUGUGCACACGUGUGCACGCUCUCUAGGGUUGAGGGUGUGGUGAGGGUAGGUUAGAAGAAAUGACUUAAUUCAAAUACCACAGGAUAUGCAGGUAGAAACAGUAUGUGAGAAUCAGUAAGGUGUUCUCUGAAAUUUGACCAGUGGUAUCCUGGAUGAUGUAGACCGUAGACUGUGCAAUGUCCCGUUCUUUUAUUAAGUACAUGGGGUCUGUAGUCACACUUCCUGGGGCAAAAUCCUGCCUCUUAUGUUUUGACCUUCGGCAAGUUACCUCACCUCGCAAAACCUGUUUCCUCACCUGUAAAAUGGGAAUAAUCACAGUACCUAUGUCAUAAGAUUGAAAUGAGAAUUCAAUGACAGUCUGGAUUAAACACUUAGUACAUGGCUUGGCAUGGAGAAAAUGCUUCAUAAAUGGUAGUUCCUAUAAUGACAUUUUUAUUAGUGUUAUUUAUAUUCUGCAUUUGUCAGAAAAAGUAUUCUGCUUUUGUAUUAGUCUGAGUUCUCUACAGAAACUAUAUAUAUACACACACAUAUAACUAUAUAUACACGUAUAUAUACACAUAUAUAUAUACAUAACUAAAUUGCAUUGGUCAUGCAGUUCCUUGGAGGCUAAGAACUCCAAGAUCUGCAGUUCAUGCUGGAGAGUCAGGAGAGCUGGUGAUAUAGUUCAGCCCCAGGUUCAACGACCUGAGAACUAAGACAGUCAAUAGUAUAAGCUCUAGAUCUAGCCCAAGUCCAAGUCUGAAGGCAAAGACCGGUGUUCCAGCUCCAAGACAGUCAGGCAGGGAAAAAGAAUUCUUUCUUACUCAGAUUUUUAUUUUAUUCAGGCAUUCAACAGAUUAGAUGAAUGUUUUACUGCUUUACUCAAUGUAAUGUUUCCAAUGUCAAUCUCAUCCAGAAAUACCCCCAGAGACACACUCAGAGAUAAUAUCUAACCAAAUAUCUGGGCACUCUGUGGUCCAGUCAAGUCAAUCCAUAAAAUUGACCACCACAAUCAUUAUCACUUUCUUCAUCCUGCCUUCUUAGUGUUACUUUGUUGCUUUUUCUAGCUUCUUGUACUACUUUAUUUGCUUACUUAUUUUAAUAUUCUUUGGUUAAAAUAGCACUUAAAAGCCAUACUUGGGAGGCUGAGGCAGGAGAAUCACUUGAAGCUGGGACGUGGAGGUUGCAGUGAGCUGAGGUCAUAUCAUUGCACUCCAACCUGGGCAACAAGAGCAAAACUCCAUCUAAAAAAAAAAAAAGCUAUACAUUUUAUCUAAUAACUAUUUUGUGACUACACCCAUAAGAUUUAAUGUCAUGAUUUUUCUUUUAU